Molecule: ribosomal RNA, 543 nt
Filed under: uncultured Glomeromycotina
Lineage: Eukaryota; Fungi; Glomeromycota
Description: SSU rRNA
Rfam family: Eukaryotic small subunit ribosomal RNA
Source: RNAcentral
UUGGAGGGCAAGUCUGGUGCCAGCGGCCGCGGUAAUUCCAGCUCCAAUAGCGUAUAUUAAAGUUGUUGCAGUUAAAAAGCUCGUAGUUGAACUUCGGGGUUUACCCAUUGGUCAGGCUUAAUUGUCUGUACUGGUGAGAUAAAUCUCUACCUUCUGAGGAACUUUCAUGUCAUUAAUUUGGUGUGAUUGGAAAUCAGGACUGUUACUUUGAAAAAUUAGAGUGUUUAAAGCAGGCUAACGUCUGAAUACAUUAGCAUGGAAUAAUGAAAUAGGACGGACUGAUUCUAUUUCGUUGGUUUCUAGGAUCACCGUAAUGAUUAAUAGGGAUAGUUGGGGGCAUUAGUAUUCAAUUGUCAGAGGUGAAAUUCUUGGAUUUAUUGAAGACUAACUACUGCGAAAGCAUUUGCCAAGGAUGUUUUCAUUAAUCAAGAACGAAAGUUAGGGGAUCGAAGACGAUCAGAUACCGUCGUAGUCUUAAUCAUAAACUAUGCCGACUAGGGAUCGGACGAAGUUAAUUUUAUAAUGACGCGUUCGGCACCUUAC